GAAGCAGGACAGAUGAUCGCCGGCCGCCCUUGAGGCCGCCGGAGGAAAGUCCGAGCUCCACAGGGCAGGGUGCUGGGUAAUCCCCAGCGGGGGCAACCCUAGGGAAAGUGCCUCAGAGACCAGACCGCCGUGGUACGUCCACGGUAAGGGUGAAAAGGUGAGGUAAGAGCUCACCAGCGGCAGUGGCGACAUU
RNAcentral lists this RNase P RNA (193 nucleotides) under Deltaproteobacteria bacterium. RNAcentral's name for it is "partial RNase P RNA component class A". It matches the Rfam family "Bacterial RNase P class A", at positions 1 to 196 of the family's 367-position model. Rfam says of the family: Ribonuclease P (RNase P) is a ubiquitous endoribonuclease, found in archaea, bacteria and eukarya as well as chloroplasts and mitochondria. Lineage: Bacteria; Pseudomonadati; Myxococcota; Myxococcia. The record is from RNAcentral.